GACGAACGCUGGCGGCGUGCUUAACACAUGCAAGUCGAGCGGUAAGGCCCUUUCGGGGGUACACGAGCGGCGAACGGGUGAGUAACACGUGGGUGACCUGCCCUCAGCUCUGGGAUAAGCCUGGGAAACCGGGUCUAAUACCGGAUAUGACUCCAUGACGCAUGUUGUGGGGUGGAAAGCCUUGUGCGGCUGAGGAUGGGCCCGCGGCCUAUCAGCUUGUUGGUGGGUGAUGGCCUACCAAGGCGACGACGGGUAGCCGGCCUGAGAGGCGACCGGCCACACUGGGACUGAGACACGGCCCAGACUCCUACGGGAGGCAGCAGUGGGGAAUCUUGCGCAAUGGGCGAAAGCCUGACGCAGCGACGCCGCGUGAGGGAUGACGGCCU
This 386-nucleotide ribosomal RNA is filed under the name uncultured bacterium. RNAcentral's name for it is "bacterial SSU rRNA". It matches the Rfam family "Bacterial small subunit ribosomal RNA", at positions 28 to 417 of the family's 1533-position model. The record is from RNAcentral.